Hevea brasiliensis (rubber tree) is the source of this 1949-nucleotide RNA transcript. RefSeq lists it as uncharacterized. The transcript is spliced from 16 exons. NCBI's taxonomy places the organism in Eukaryota, Viridiplantae, Streptophyta, Magnoliopsida, Malpighiales, Euphorbiaceae. The record is from RefSeq and is a predicted model, not a curated record.
AAAAAAAAAAAAAAAAAAUUCUCCAAGGAAAAUAAAUAAAUAAAUCGAAUGCAGAGGUGGAAAGUUUCGGGGGCUAAAAUGGAUUGCUACUAAAGGAGAUGGAAUUCGCGAUGCGUAGUGUGUGUACUAUUCCGUACCAAACACUCCACUACUAACUCUGCAACCAGAAAAAGAAACCGUAUACUCUUUUCCAGUUAUAAUAUUGCACCCAAAAAGUGAGGAUAGAUAAGUGAAGCCGAUGGGCAAGGACAAGGAAUUCGCAGCUUCCUCUUCAAACCCUAUUACCCACUCUAACAAUAACAGCGGCGAAGAUGAUUCCGAUCCCACGAAGAAUCCUUCUUUCCCCACCGUCAAUUUCUCUUCUCGAAAUGCUUCCUCCAAAUACGACUUUGUCAAAGUUAAGGUGUGGCUGGGCGAUCACGCUGAUCAUUACUACGUUCUGUCUAGGUUCUUGCUCAGCAGAAUGUUGACUGUCACUAAGAUCCCAAAUCAUGUAGCUAUUAAAAUAGCUCUUGAACUCAAGAAGCUGCUCAUAGAUAACAGUCUUCUAGAUGUUUCUCAGUCUGAUCUUGAAGCUAACCUAUUUAAGCUCAUGGAGCGGCGGGGGUAUGGGGAAGAGUACAUCAAUCGCUACAAGAUGAUGACAAGAUUUCAUCAUCAAAGAGUGCCAUUGGUAAUUCUUGUUUGUGGAACUGCAUGUGUUGGGAAGUCUACUAUAGCUACCCAACUCGCACAAAGGCUGAAUUUGCCUAAUGUCUUGCAGACAGAUAUGGUGUAUGAAUUGCUACGGACAUCAACAGAUGCACCAUUGGCAUCUACUCCUGUAUGGGCACGAGACUUCAGUUCCUCUGAGGAGCUAAUUACUGAAUUUUGUAGAGAAUGUCGAAUUGUUCGUAAAGGUUUGGCUGGUGAUUUGAAGAAAGCAAUGAAAGAUGGAAAGCCAAUUAUAAUUGAGGGGAUACAUUUGGAUCCAAGCAUUUAUUUAAUGGAUGAAGAAAAUAAGUCACCGGCUAAUGUGCCAGAAAAAACUAAGGAAGCAAACCCUGUAUCUGUGAUUGAUAAUGAUCCUGCAAAACAGGUGGAAAAUAAUCCUGCAAGUGUUAGUGUAAGUCAUACUGAUAAUAGCAACUCCAUUUCUGGGAAUGUGAGUUUGGAAGAGGGGAUAUCUGAUGAUCAGGUGAAUAAUGUCCCAGAUUCACAGGAAUCUGUUUCCACAGCAGGCUGUAUUUCUGAUAAUAGAGCUGAAAUUGUUACAGAUACUAGGAGAGAGAGAGAUUCUUCUGUUAGGAAAGAAAAAUUGGGUCCUAAACCAAUAAUUAUACCCAUAGUUCUGAAAAUGGCUGAAUUUGAUCACAAGGCAUUACUUGAGGAGUGGAUAGUGACUCGCACAUUUAGUGAUAAAUGCCCAGUCCAGGAUAAAGAUAGGCUAAUUACCAAUCUGAAAAUCAUUCAGGACUACCUUUGCUCGUUUAAGUCACAGGGUUUGACUGUUGCCAAUAUAUCAGCAACAACAUUCCCUCAAACGCUUGAUUGGCUGCAUGGAUAUCUUCUUCAGUGCAUUGAACAAGGCAUUUCAUCAGUGUCCAGUGAAAUUGGUCGACAGCCAGCUGAAAAUUAGAUUAGAUGCAGAUGCUUGCUGGGGCACUGGCAGGUACAAACUGAACCUUCAGCCAUUCAUGUAGCUUCUUGCAAUGGCAGAACCUGCAUUUAUCCAUAAUUCACUUGCCCCAUCUGAUGGACCAAAUUUUGGGCUUUGGAGAAGUGCCUAGCAGAUCAUUUAUCGUAUCAAGGCAUUAUAUUACUGAUGAUCAUGCGGGUAGAUAAGAGGGUUCAGGAAGGAAUGAUUUUCAGUUUGCUUCGCUGCUGAUGUAUACUUUAUAUUCACCAUGCAUUUGUAAACAUUAUAAAGGCAGGCUGAUUUCGACAAUAAAAUGUCAGCAAUUUUGAAA